CAGUAUGGUUAAAAAUGGGUAACUCUUUCAUUCUAAAGCACUAACAAAUAUUUAGAAACUGUCAUGCACAAUGCCAUCGAAUUGUUAUAUUGAUAUGAUUGCUAGUGGUAUAUUUGAAGUCUGUUACACAUUACACAAACCUCACAAAGCCUCAAAUAUCUGAUACAUGUACUUGAUGUAUUUUGAAGAGUCCAUGUCUCGUACACGCUUACUUGCACCAGAAUUCUAACAUCCAAACGAAAGGGAAAACAACGAAAUAAUGUCUCAGUUUCGGUCCUCAAACGUACAGGGAAAGCACAUGUUACACGAAAACUGAAAAACACGAGAAUUACUAAUUAUGUUGGAUCUUCAUAUAUGUCAAACAAACACCAUGUCCAAAAACAUAGUAGUAUAGCACCGUGUCAUACAUAACACAAUGUUAUAGUUAAAGAACAAAUACAUUGCUUCAUUAGUUUUUUUUUAUCAAUUUUUGACAAUUGUAUAGGCACUCAUAGUAUUACCAUAAUGCCAAAAAAAUGUAUUAAUGAUGAUGAAAAUGAUUUAUCGGAUGCUAGUACUUAACAAAUCAUGCAAAGCCUCAAUCCAUAUAAUAGAAUGCAAUAAAUGGAGAAGCCAUAAAUAUAAACACCGUGAGAUAUAGUCCACAAAAUGAAGUCAUAGCCCCUCCCAUUGAAUGCAAAGUCCCAUAAUCUGAAGGUCUUCAUAUAACUCCUUUGCACUUUCAACAGUAUUUAAAAUUGUAGGGCGCAAAAUUUUGUUGUGCUAAGCAGAAUAAAAUACAUGAUACACCUAAAAUAAUGCAAGAAGCAUGACAACAAAAAUUGAACUCUGCCAAGAACUGCAUACACCAAAUUCAUUAUCACAUUACCAUUGAACCAUAGGUACCAGGAUUAUCACAUUUAAGCUUCUUCCAGUUUAGGUCUUCAGUCCAGUUAUAUUUAUUGAAUGUUCAAUAUAUUCACACAAACAAAAAUUAGCACUUAAAUGCUCUUUUUAACAGUCGUUGCAAUCUUAUAAAUAUUUGCGACAGGAAUCUGGAUAAUAGUGAGAUAUAAGAAUUUAGACAUACUUAAUAGUUGAUUUCAACAUUGCAUAAACUAUCAACCAAAUAAGUAAUUAUCUUUCCACAACUCUUUUAUAGGAAAUAGUAUUGCCCGAGAUAAAAAAAUCUCGCACUUAGCUAAAAAUUCAUAUGUUUGUCAGAUUGAAAACUAACAUAACAUAAAGGAAUUUAGCUCCUAUAUUAAAUAAAAAUGAAAAGAAUUAGAGUAAAACACAUACGAAAUGGACUUACAUAGAAUUUUAAAUACUGUCAUCCAAAAAGUGAAAGACAAACCUAUUAUACUCUUAUUUAAAAGUUUUUCAAUGGUUAUACAUGAUUAUAUAUACACAGAAAAAAAUGAAUAUACAUAAACUCUACUCAGUACAUGUAUUAAUAAAAUUUCGAGUUGAAGGUAUAAUAAAAACUAAAUAAUUUUGUAGGGGGUAGUGUUGAGAGUUUACCGGUUUAUUGUUGUCUUUGUAACUGGAAUUUGGCUCGAUUGAGAUAGCUUUUUAAAUACAGAUCAUAGAUUUACCUAAAAAGAUUCAAAUAGAUUAUAGUAAAAAUUUCAUGAGAUAUAAUAAUAAAAUAAUUAGAGUUUACACUAAUAAUAAGCAACAAAAAGAUAAUAGCCAGAAACAGUCAAACCUUUCUACAUUAAAUUGUGAAAAACUUUCUGAAAAACUACAUUCUUUGUAGUAUUGUAUGUUUGUCCAUCUUUGUCAUAAAUUAGUAUUUUUACUCCACUCUUGCUUGUAACUCUUGAUACUGCUACAUACAAUUGGUCAUGGCUAAAAACUGGACGUGAAAGAUACAGUCCAACAUGUGAUCAGAGAGAUUGCCCCUAGCUUUUAUUAAUUGUCAUGAAAAAGCAAACAACCAAAGAAAAUUCUUUGUUAGAAUUUAAAAGGUAAUCUAAUGUUUGACGGUGUUAAGACCAAGCGAGGUAUGAAAACUUUGUGUUCAAAAUUGCCGACUGAAAUUACUUUUGCUUCUAUCAGAUGUUUUCCCAAUCGAGUUACUAUUAAUCUCGUGACAUUGCACAAACCAGAUCAUUGAUCUAUAUUUCGGAGCAACAUUACAAGAACCCCAAUCUUCAACGUUAUCUUGUGGUUUGACAUUCCAGAAGAUGUAAUGAUAUUCAAAAAUUAUAGGGUGUAAAUGCCUUCAUAGCUGUUUGAGGUUUAUCAACCUUACAUAGGACAUAUUAGAUAUGGUACUUCAUCGCCCGGCCAUAAAUACAUCACAUAUUCGUUCACCUUAUUUAUAACAUCAAGUGUAGGAGCAAGGAUGACUUGGUCUUGGAAAUAAAAGACAUCGUCAAAAAUUUUCAAUAAAUUAGGAUAUGUGACAUCAACAAUUGUUGCAAGGGGAUUGAUCGGAUAUUUGAUAAGAAAAUUAGGAUAAAUAACGGGGAGUAAUAGUAAUAGCUCAAUAAUGAUAAUAUAAUAAAGUAGUGAUUUUAGGAGAUAAUAAUUAAAUUAGAAAGUAUAAUAUUAGAACAGUUUACAUUAAUAAAAUAGUUUAGAUUUGUAGUGAUUUAAGGGAUUAUUCAUUUAAAAUAUUAAUUUGGGAUUAAAAAAGUAGUGAUUUUAGUAUAUAAUAAUUAAUUUAGUAAUGAUAAUAUUAGAAUAGUUAACAUUAUUGGAACAGUUUAGAUGUGUAGUGAUUUAAGGGAUUAUAAAAUCAAAAUAAUAAUGUAGGAUUAAAAAGUAAUGAUUUUGAAAGAUAAUAAUUACGUUACGAUAAUAUAAAAACUGUUUAGAUUGAAAAAGUAGUGAUUUAGUGGAUUAUAAAAUCAACAUAGUAACUUAUGAUUUAUAUUAUUUGUUAUUUUAAUUUUGUUUUAAAUGUUUUAAAUUGUAUAAUAUUAUUUUGUAAUAUAAUUAUAAAUGGUAUAAUAUUAUGUUGUAAUAUAAUUAAAUUAGUAAUGAUAAUAUCUGCACAGUUUAGAUAAGUAGUGAUUUUAUUACAUACGUGUAUUAUAAUAUUACACCAUACAUGUAUGAUAUAAUGUAUGGUAUAAUUAUGAAUGUUAUAAUAUUAGAAAAGUAAUUAUUUUAGGAUAUAAUAAUUAUGUUUUAACAUAAUUAAAUUAGUAACAGUUUAGAAAAGUAGUGGAUUUUAGGGUUUAUAAAAUAAACAUAUUAGUGCAGGAUUAUAUAUAUGUAUGAUAAUGUAUGGUAUAAGAUUAUAAAUGGUAUAUAAUACUGUAAAAUUCUAAAAAAAUAGAUUUAUUGGGUUGUCACGGUUAGUAAUGUUGGAACUUAUAUAUAUAUAUGCAUAGUAUAAUAUUAUAAAAAGUAUAAUAUUAUAAAAUUCAAAAAUCGGUGUAAUUAUGUAACAGUUGACAUUACAAAAAUAGUUUAGAUUUAUAGUGAUUUAGUAGAUUAUAAAUUCAAAAUAUUAAUUUGGGAUUAAAAAAUAGUGAUUUUAGGAGAUAAUAAUUAAAUUAGAAAUGAUAAUAUCAGAAAAGUUGACAUUAUCAAAACAAUUUAGAUUUGUAGUGAUUUAGGGGAUUAUAAAAUAAAAAUAUUAAUUUGGGAUUAAAAAAAUAGUGAUUUUAGGAGAUAAUAAUUAAAUUAGAAAGAAUAAUAUCAGAACAGUUGACAUUACCAAAACAAUUUAGAUUUAUAGUGAUUUAGUGGAUUAUAAAUUUAAAAUAUUCUUUUGGAAUUAAAAAAGUAGUGAUUUUAAAAGAUAAUAAUUAAUUUAGUAAUGAUAAUAUUAGAAAAAUUAACAUUAUCAGAACAUUUUAGAUUUUGUAGUGAUUUAGGGGAUUAUAAAAUCAAAAUAAUAAUAAUAAUAUAAAAACCAUUUAGAUUGAGAAAAUAGUUAUUUAUGAGAUUAUAAAAUAAACAUAGUAAGUUUUGAUUGAUAUUACUUGUUAUUUUAAUAUUAUUUUAAAAUAAAUGUUUUAAACUAUAUAAUAUUAUGUUGUAAUAUAAUUAUAAAUGGUAUAAUAUUAUGCUAUAAUAUAAUUAAAUUAGCAAUAAUAAUAUUCGAACAGUUUGGAUAGGUAGUUAUUUUGUUAUAUACGUGUAUUAUAAUAUUAUACUAUACAUAUAUGAUACAAUGUAUGGUAUAAUUAUGAAUGGUAUAAUAUUAGAAAAGUAGUGAUUUUAGGAUAUAAUUGUUUUAAAUGUUUUAAACUGUAUAAUAUUAUGUUGUAAUAUAAUUAUAAAUGGUAGGAGUGGGCAAAAAAUCCGGUUUUUUCGGUUUUUGGGCGAACCGGACCGGUCCGAACCGAUCGGUUCGGGAUAAAUCUGAAACGGUUCGGUUUUAGUAAAAUAAUUCGGUAUAUACCGGCUAAACGGUUCCGAUUUUGGUUUAGAGUUUGAAUGGAUCGGUAGUAAUCGGACCGAACCGGUUAUACCGGUUAUUUACUAACUUACUAAUUUUUAGUUUUAAUUUUAGUUUUACAGAUCAGCAGCAUGCCAGCAUCAGUUCUCUACUUCUCUUAGUCUUAUCUCGACUUCUCUUCACUCACUCUUCUUCACUUAACUUACCACUUUUCAAAUAGAUCUAGGGUUUCUUCGUUCCCUACUUCGCUCGACAGUCACUUCGUUCGCUAUCUCGACUCUUCACUUAUCUCGACAGUCACUCACUCUUCUUCACUUAUCUCGACAGUCACUUCGUUCGCUACUUCGUGGUUUUCGCGGUCUACAGCUACCUCAGGCUAUCAGUUGUCCGCCUCUCCCUUCGAGCUCUUAGGUAAUUUACUUUCUAUUCGUUUGAUUUAAGAUCUGAACUUCAAUUUUAGGGUUUCAAACUUCAAUUUUAGUUAUGUUUCAAACUUCAAUUUAUGUACUUUCUUGUUGAUAUAUCAACCACAUAGAAAAAAAAGUAAUUAUGUGUUUUAAUCAUCCCAGCUAAUGUUGAUAAAUUAGCCCAUCUUGAACGGAUUUGCAGUUAUAAAAGUUAUUAAAACUUUCAGUUAUUAAAACUUUGUUCCUUCACUAAUUUUCUCAUGCUAAUUAUCAGUGAAACAAUAAGGAACAUUGUAUAAAUAUUAUAGCUGCCCAAUAGUGAUUACCUCAAAUAUUUACUUGCAUUAAAUUGACUGCACAUUAAAUUUCCUUAAUUGACUGCUAAGCUUUUAUGAGUUCGUUUGAUGCAGCUUCUAACUAGCUUAACUUUGACAUAUUUGACUGCUAAGCUUUCCUUAAUUGACUGCUAAGCUUUUAUGAGUUCGUUUGAAGCAGCUUCUAAUUGACUGCUAAGCUUUCCUUAAUUGUACAUUCUUUGUUAUAUUGUACUAGUUUUCAAGAGGCUUAAAAUUCUAUUUUCACUGACUGCUAAUUGACUGCUAAGCUCACUAGUUGUCACUCUGUUUUAAUGUUAAAAUUCAAUUACUAUUCUCAUGGUUAUCAACUUAAUUGUUUGUUUGUGUUUUUAUGUACAGUGAUGGAAAAUAUGGAUAAUAGUAUACCAAUAUCAUCCGAUGCAAAUCCAAUCACAGUCCCAAGCAAUGGAGGAGACAAUGGAGAAGGCGAGACACGCGGAACACAAAAGCAAAAUGAGGUUGAAGAGAUUGAGCAAAUAAUCGGUAAGACUCGUGCUACUAUAUGGGAACAUUAUAUAAGGUUUAAGCAAAAUGAUGAAAUUAAGGCAAAGUGCAAUUAUUGUGGUCAAGUUUUAAAAGCCGACUCGGGAAAGAAUGGGACAAGUGGUUUAAAAAAUCAUAAUGCAAGAUGUAAAUUGUACCCUCCUAAUAUUCAAUUAAAGGAAAGACAACAAUCACUAUUAAAUUUUCCCCAAUCAAGUAUUAAUGAAGGGGGUCAAGAGUUGGAAGGGGAAUCAACCAAUAGUGUUUGUUUAUGGAAAUUUGAUCAAGAGUUGAUUAGGAGGGCAAUUUCGUUUAUGAUAAUUGUUGAUGAACUUCCUUUUAGUCAUGUGGAGAAUAUGGGCUUUAAAUACUUGAUGUCGGUUGCAUGUCCAAAAUUUAAUGUGCCUUCACGUAGGGCCACAACUAGAGAUUGUUUGAAGCGUUUUUUAGAGGAGAAAUUGAAACUGAAAACUUACUUCAAAAAUACAUCACAAAGGGUUUCUCUUACUACCGAUACAUGGACUUCCAUACAACGAAUUAAUUAUAUGGUGUUGACUGCUCAUUAUGUUGAUGAUAAGUGGAAUUUGCAAAAGAAAAUUAUUAGCUUUGUCCCAAUUACUAGUCAUAAAGGGGAAGACAUAGGUAUGUCGGUUGAAAAUUGUUUGAGGGAAUGGGGAAUUGAUAAAGUUUUCACAAUCACAGUUGAUAAUGCUAGUUCCAAUGAUGUUGCAAUUUCCUAUUUGAAAACUCAAUUGAAAGUUUGGGGUCAUAGCAUUUGUGAUAAUAAAUUUCUCCAUGUGAGGUGUGUUGCUCAUAUAGUUAAUUUGGUUGUAUGUGAUGGGUUGAAAGAUGCAACUCCUUCGAUAUCUCGUGUUCGAUCUUUGGUUAGGUGGGUGCGACAAUCUCCUUCUAGGAUUAAAAAAUUCAAAGAAUGUGUUGAAAUUGAGAAAAUUGAAAAAAAAACUUCAUUGAUCCUAGAUGUGUCCACUAGAUGGAACUCCACUUAUUCUAUGUUGAAUGUGGCCAUAGAUUUUGAACGUGCUUUUAAUAGGCUUGCAAGCAAAGAUCCUUUAUUCAAAUUGGAAAUGGAAUCGGGUGAUGGGUGGCCUACCAUAGAAAAUUGGGGAGUUGUGAGAAAAUUGGUGGUAUUCUUGAAGUGUUUCUUUGACAUUACGGUGAAGGUUUCGGGUACAUCUUAUGUGACAUCAAAUACUUUUUUUCAUGAAUUUCUUGAUCUUGAUGAUGCUUUGAAUGAAUUGUUAUAUGAUGAGAAUGACAAUGACAUGAGAGAAAUGGCGUUGAGGAUGAGAGCAAAAUUAGAUAAAUAUUGGGGGAAUGUUGAAAAGAUGAAUAAAUUGUUGUACAUUGCGGUUGUUCUAGAUCCUAGACAUAAAUUUGUAUUUGUGGAAUUUGCUUUCAAUUCAAUGUAUGGGAGUGGGACUGAAAUGGCAAAAAAAAAUGAUAAAAUCGGUGCGUGAUGCCAUUGAGGAAUUGUUUAAAUGUUAUAGUCUCAAAUAUGAAUCACAAAGUGCACAAUCUAAUGUGUCUAGUGAAAGUUUUGAUGUGUGUGGUCGAGAAAGGACAAGGAGAAAGAUGAUGGAAAAAUUUGUAGAACACAUUGCGAACGUUCAAGGAGGAGAUAAUACCGAAUUAGACAAGUAUUUGAGUGAGCAUGUUGAUCAAAUGACUUCAAAAUAUAAUGUUUUGGGUUGGUGGAAAAAUAACUCUCCUAGAUUUCCCAUUCUCUCUCAAAUGGCUAAGGAUGUAUUGGCGGUUCCUAUAUCAAUCGUUGCUUUCGAGUCGGCAUUUAGCACCGGUGGUCGUGUACUUGAUUCAUUUAGGAGUUCUUUAACUCCUAGAAUGGUACAAGCUCUUAUUUGUGCUCAAGAUUGGCUUCGUUCAAGUAAACAAUCAAUAUCCAUAGAGGAGAACUUAGAUUCACUUUAUACAAUUGAGAAAGGUAAUCCUUCAUUUUAAAUUAUAUAGUUUUCAUUUAUAAUGUUUAUAUGUUAAUGACUUUCUUUAAUUAUUUUUAUUUUCUUUUGAUCUUAGAAUUUGCGGAAGUUUUGGAUAUGGAUGGUGGAAUUUAAUAGAAAUUUGGCACUUAGCAGUUUUUACAUCAGAUGGAUAACAGUUUUUUUUUAAACUUGGGUUUGUUUCAAGUUUCAAGUCUUUUGUUGUGUAUCACUUAGUAAUAUCCUCAUUGAUUCAGAACUGUUAAAGCUCAAUUUCAGUCAAUGCUUAUUUGUUUAUCAGUCAAUGAAACUCUUUUAUGCUUAUCAGUCAAUGCUUAUUUGUUUGUUUGUUGGUUUUCUGUUCAGUCUAUAUUACUCUGCUGCUGUUGCAUUUGGAAUUUUGGACUGCUCUGCUGCUGUUACUUUGCUGCUGCUGCUGCUGUUGAAAUCUUCUAUUUUACUCUUCUAUGGACAGCAUUUGAUUAUGAAGUUGGGUUGUUGUUGGCUUGUUACUUUACUCUGCUGCUUGCUGCUAUUUGUACUAUGGACUUUGGACUGCAUUUUAUUUGCUGGCUUGUUGUUAUCAUAACACUCUUUCUUUAUGUCAAGUUUUAGUCUUGGAUUGUAGUUGUGUAAACUGUAAGGAAAUCAUGGACUUGUGUUGUGUUACUCAUUUGGAUCAUGGACUUCAGGACUUGUGUUACUUAUUUGGAUCAGUUGAAUCAUGAAUGUGUGCUUGGAAGUUAGAUCAGUUAAAUGUUAUUGUAAUAUGCUAGUAUGGAUUUUUUUUAACUUUUCAUUGAAGCAGGGUUAAAAAGCAACCGGUACAAAUUUAGGUUCAAACCGGUACCGAACCGGUUCCGGACCGGCUAACCGGUUCGGUAAACCGGUCCAACCGGUUCCGAUAUCGGUAUCCAUUUUAGACUGAAUUCGGUAACCGGUUCGGUUCAGACCGGUUUGGUCCGGGUAAUUAUCGGUGCCCACCCUUAAUAAAUGGUAUAAUAUUAUGUUGUAAUAUAAUUAAAUUAGUGUGGGAUGCACAUUAAUUAUAUAGAACAUGUGUUACAAUGUGGAAAAGGCACAUGUCAUUCAAUGAUACUAUGUACUGCAAUUUAGUAUAGAUAAUAAUAGAUAAUAGAUAAUAGAUAAUAGAUAAUAGAUAAUAGAUAAUAAAUAAUAAAUAAUAGAUAAUAGAUAAUAGAUAUAUAUAUUCCAUUCAAAAUCUUACCACAUCAGCACAGCCUCAUAUGAGCUCACGUAAAUUGUUCAUUCCAUUUUAAUAAAAUAAUUAAACCAAUUUCAAGUUUCAUGACAAAAUUAAUUAUGAAAAUGUUUUAAAAUGUUGAUUUUUAGGGAAUAAUUGAUGGAGUUGGUUAGAAAAUAAGUUUUUAAAAGAUUUAUUAUCUUUCAUAUAUCUAACCAAUAUUGUUUUCAUAAAUCUUGGGAUGGAUUUUACAUUAUUUAAGUAUUCCAUAAUUUAUUAAUUGAUAGUUUUCCAUAAAUUGGUUAAACAAAUAAAUUCUCAUAUCUUUAGAAUCAAUUAGUGCGGUUCAAAUAAUUGAAAGAAUUUUUGGAAGCUAAUAGAUUAAAGUUUUAAAAUGAAUAUGAAAAUAAUUUUUAAUUGCAUGAAACUGGAAGUAAUUAAUUAAUCAUAGAAUAAAUUUAUUAGGCACUUGAACAUUACAAAUAAUACAAUAAUACAAGUAGCAUAGUUUGGCUCCUUAUGCGUUACCUGGGACCAAAAAUAUGGUAAAAGGAAUAGGGUAAAUUACAUAUUCUAUUACAUUUUUAAAAAUAAUUACAACAAUAGUGUACUCAUAAAAUCUUUACACAACUAAUACACUUCCAUAUUUAUUUACAAUACUAGUGCAAUUAGGAUUCCUUAAUUUAGGGAAUUAGUAUUCAAUUAGAAUUCCUAUUAGUUAUACCCAUGACUUAUUCUCUCUCCUCAUCUAUAACAACUGCACUUAAUUAUCACCCUUCUUCUUCAUUCAACGUAUUCUAUAUAUAUAUAUAUAUAUAUAUAUAUAUAUAUAUAUAUAUAUAUAUAUAUAUAUACACACACACACACACACACANNNNNNNNNNNNNNNNNNNNNNNNNNNNNNNNNNNNNNNNNNNNNNNNNNNNNNNNNNNNNNNNNNNNNNNNNNNNNNNNNNNNNNNNNNNNNNNNNNNNNNNNNNNNNNNNNNNNNNNNNNNNNNNNNNNNNNNNNNNNNNNNNNNNNNNNNNNNNUGCUGCUGCUGCUUAUCAUCAUGCUUUAUGAGAUGUUACAUAUGAAAUUCAAAAAGAAUCUUCAUUUACCAAAUCAAAUGCUUGGCUGCCAAUGCAUGCAUACCCCUCAGAUUUUCAUUGGAUCUCAUAUUAACACAAUCUACACUCUCGUUGCGGCUUUAGCUUUUCAUCAAAUCUUUGAAGGCAUGGGUGGAAGCUGGGUCUAAUUUGGCGUUGGAGCACAAAAAAAAUGGAUUUAGGAGGUGGUGGGAAUGGACGUAUUUUGUUUGAUGAGACGUGUUCAAUGUGUUCCUUCAAAUACUGGAUGAUGGUAACCAAACUAUCAUAUCAAAGUAAUCAAUCAACCUCCACACUUUUUAUUUUUUUUUAGUGUAGUUGGUAACCAAACCUUCAGAUCAAGGUAAACAAACCUUCAUACCAAGGUAACAAAACUUUCAUACCAAUAUAACCAAUUUACAUCAACACUUGCAGUUUUUUUAUAGUGCAGUUGGUAGCCGAAUCUUCAGACCAAGGUAACCAAUUCAAUUUUAUUACGUUACCAAUUUCGUUUGAAUGUGAUGCAGUUGGUAGCCAACCAUUCAUACAAAGGUAACCAUUUUAUUAUUUAUGAGUAACAAAAUAGUUAUAAAAAAAAAAUUCAGAACAGUAAAAGUUGCAUCUAUUUAUUUUUAAAUUUUUUGUAGGGCGAAUCUUCUUCUUUAUUCUCAUUGGCGUUUUGGACAACGAAGAUUCGCGGUGGUGUAGCGGCGGAGUAUGUAAGGUGUAGCGGCGGACUAUUAUUUCAAAGUGUAUGUGAGGGAGAUGAAGAUUUGGAUUUGAAUAUUUAAAUUUGAAUUUGAAUUGAAUUUGUUUUUAUUGUUAGAUCCAAAUAUUUGAAUUUGAAUUAUUAAUUAUGGCAGUUAUUUGUCCUUGAUUUUAGGUUUCCUUAUUAAUGUGAAUUGUAUUAUUUUUGUAAUAUGGGUCCUAAUUACAUUCUUUUUGUAAUUAUUUGGUUGAUGCACUUUUCUUGUAAUUACUUUCUUUUUGUUGUAUACUUAUGUAAAGAACCCAAAGGAAUAACCAUCUUCACUUAUAAGAAUUUCAGAGAAUAAGUGACAUUCAAUGGCAGAUGAAGUGUCAUGUAAACCGACUACCAUAACCAAUAAUAAUCUGCAAUUAUGAAAAGGAUACGAAAUAUUCUAAAACCUAGAGGCCUCCAAAAAUCCUUUGGAAAGAAGAUUUUUAAAGAGAGAAUAUUAAAAAAACAAACAAAAAUAGAAAGCAAAAGAUUUUAAUUCACAAGACUCAAAUUUUGAUAGGUCUAAUAACUAACUGGAGAUAAGUCACCUAAUAUAAGAUAGGUCUAUUAACCAAGAUUUAUUAUCAAGAAAUGUUUUCUCAAAACUCUUCAAAAGAGUAAAGGGAACCAGAGUUUCAAGGGAGUAAGCUAAGUCGACUUGUUGAAAUCUCUCAAAUCUAUUAACCAAUAAAUGUUAUCAAGAAACAAUCUCAAAACUCUGUCAAAACAUUUCACAGUAUUAUAGUUCCAAGGGAAGUAACUAAUUCAGACUUGUUAGAACCUUUGCUCUUAUAAAUCUCGUAAAUGCUAUAUUACCAUGAAUUUAUAUUAUUGGUAUUAGAGUUCCAAGGGAGGCAAGCCAUAAGCUUCGCUUUAUAUUAUUGUUAAUUUGAAAUGUCCUUACCGGUUAAAGACUGGUAUUGAGCACCAACCAUUUGAUUCCCACAUAAGGCAAGUAUUUUAGCAUUUUAUGUUUUCAAUAAACAUUUAGCACCUAGUACUCUUCUUGGUAAAAGGCAAUUGAUCAAGGAACAAAAAGUACAAUUCUUUCCCAAACUCCCACAAUUAUCAAUCACUUUUAUGAAACCAUUAUAUGAUAUCCACCAUUAGCAGGCACACGAGACCUACCCAAACACUCCCCCCCCCUAAACAAUCAUAUUAUACAGUUGUGGCAUGAAAUGCCCUUGUUACAAACUUCUGAAUAGAAAAACCACAAUUUAUAGGGACAUACUUAGAACUUAUGUAUUGAUGUUGGUCAAAUAUGAAGGCCUACAUUUGAACUGUAUACAGACUUUAGAUUUCCACAGAUAUAGUAAUGAAAAGGAAAACAAAUGAAAAGGAAAACGAAAUAAAACAUUCUUCUAAAUGAACACACUUUUCUUCUAUUUUCUGAAAACUUGAACUCAAGGAACCAUUCUUCAAUAAAAAGAAGUUAUUUUUCUUUGAUUUUCUGAAUAGAAACGUAGCAUAAAAGAACGAUCUUGGCAUUUAAAUGAAAAUCUUAACCAAGUAUAAAUCAAAAGGCAAGGUUAAGUUUGAACAGAUGUCAAAUCCCCUUGGCUGUCAAAAAAAUCCAAAACAAAGACUACAAAAUAAAAGCAUCAAAUCUCAAUAUACAAUAUCAAUUAAGGGAAAUUUUCAUCCACAACCGAGAUCAGAAAUUCUUAUAUAAUCACUUUGAAGCUNNNNNNNNNNNNNNNNNNNNNNNNNNNNNNNNNNNNNNNNNNNNNNNNNNNNNNNNNNNNNNNNNNNNNNNNNNNNNNNNNNNNNNNNNNNNNNNNNNNNUUAUUUAUUGACGCUUGAAGAGCUUCUUUCGGUUGUACGAGUGAGAGCAGGCAUCUGUAUCCUGCGAGUCUGCAUAGUUUAAAAACGUCUCAAAAUUUGUUCGUUUUCAAUUGUUGAAAAAAUAUCCUUCUCAAUAUAAACUACUAGACUGUCAUUCAUCCACUCGUCUCCCAUUUUGUUACGCAAGCCAGUCUUGACAAUUUUCAUCGCAGAGAAUACUCUUUCAACAGUAGCAGUUGCAACUAGUAAAACCAAAGCUAACUCGAUCAAUCGAAUACCAAUGUAAAAGUCAUAUGUCUUCUUGUUUUAAUUAACUUCUUAGCAAGACUUUCCAAACCCAAAUUUUCGAUCCCAAAAAAUUGACUAUCGCAUCGCAUAUCAUAAAUGUAAUUUUCAAGUUGAUCCCCAAGUAUCAUGCGAUCAGUCAAUGAGAAGUCUUCUGGAUAAAGCUCAGCAAAACGGAGUAAUUUAUUUUUGUCAAAGUGAGAGAACGAAUCCCUUGGAUCAAGGCAUGAUAUGCAUAAAAGUAACUCUGUGCUUGCUUCUGAAAAAUGAUUGUUCAUCUCUUGAACAAUUGAAUCAACAAUCUACAAAUCAUUUGUGAUUCCCAAUAUAUAUUUUAUCAAAUGCAUCACAAAUACAAAUUCAUAAUUCUCCAUCUUAUGAAUCAAACUUAUGGCAAUACCGCUAUUAUCAUCAGAAGCACCAUCAUCAUGCACAUUUUCAAGCACUUGUAAAACGGAAGUCCACAUAGACAUAAGACGGAUUAUAGUUAUGUAAUGUGACCCCCAACGAAUAUCUCAUGGCUGUCUUAAACUGAUUUCUUAAUUUUUUCCUUUACCACUAACUAUCUCUCCCUUUUCCAAACACUCCACGAUCCUAUCAUGUUCAAGCUGUCUAAGUUUAUCUUUCCUUUUACAUGAUGCUCCAGCCACAUUCACAAUCAUAGUAAAAUAUUAAAAAAAAUCACUCACAAUACGGCUGCUCUUGGCAACAGCAACAACUAAUUGGAGUUGGUGAGAAAAACAAUGGACAUACCUUGCAUAUGAAUUUUCUUUUAAAAUAAGAGCCUUCAAUCCAUUGAACUCGCCUCGCAUAUUUGAAGCCCCAUCAUAUCCUUGACCUCUCAACCUCGAUAAUGACAAUUUAUGCUUUGCAAAUAAUUCAUCAAUAGCAUUCUUUAAAGAAAUAGAUGACGUGUCAGGCACAUGUACCACACCAAAAAACCUUUCAAUCACAUCUCCAUGGUUGUUUACAUAUCUCAAAACAAUUCCCAUUUGCUCCUUUAUUAAUUGAAACAUCACAAGACUCAUCAACCAUAAUAGAAAAUGCUUUUUGGGGAUAAUUAUGGGCAAUUGGUUGACAUGGACCUCUAGUCAAAUACUCUCUUCGAACUUGAUCUCUAAUCACAAUAGCAAAGUCUUCAAUUGAUUUACGUAACCCCGGAUCACUAACAAUAUCAUUCGGAUUGAACUCCACACGUGAAUUAUUAAAAUCACCACUUGCUUCGGAACUUGGUAUUUGAUUAUUAAAAGAAUCAGCAGUUCUUUGUCGCUUAAUCAAGUAUUUAUCCAUAAUCUAGUAUAAAUAAAAACAUCAAUUACUAAUCAAUAAUUUCAUUAAUUUAAACACUUGGGAUAAUAUGAGAUCAACACUUGGGAUAAUAUGAGAUCAACACUUUAAGAAAGGCUUUCUUAAUUUAAGGUAUUAAACCAUCUUAAUUUUUAUAAUUAAAAAUAAAAUCAAUUAUUCCUAAAUUAACAGAAAAUCAAUUAAAAAUAAAAUCAAAUUUUAUUCUUUUUCUUAUAUCUCUAAAUUUAUUUGUCAAUUGUCAUCAUCAAAAUUACAUACAAAGUGGAGACCUAAUUAACAGAGAACAUUAAUAGUAUGCAUAUUUAGGCUAAAUUAAAAUCAAUAGUAUCAAAUUUGAAAGACAUUUAGACUAAAUUAAAAUUAAAAAUUAAUUAAAUUACUUACCAAAUAACCAAAACAAAGUCCAAAAUAGAGGAGCAGAUCAGCCGAAGUGUGAACAGAUCAGCCGAAGUGUGGCGGGCGGCGGGCNNNNNNNNNNNNNNNNNNNNNNNNNNNNNNNNNNNNNNNNNNNNNNNNNNNNNNNNNNNNNNNNNNNNNNNNNNNNNNNNNNNNNNNNNNNNNNNNNNNNUAUAGGCACAUACUUAGAACUUAUGUAUUGAUGUUGGUCAAAUAUGAAGGCCUACAUUUGAACUGUGUACAGACUUUAGAUUUCCACAGAUAUAGUAACGAAAAGGAAAAUAAAUGAAAAAGAAAACGAAACAAAACAUUCUUCUAAAUGAACACAUGCUUUUCUUCUAUUUUCUGAAAACUUGAACUCAAGGAACCGUUCUUCAAUAAAAAGAAGUUAUUUUUCUUUGAUUUUCUGAAUAGAAACGUAGCAUAAAAAAACGAUCUUGGCAUUUAAAUGAAAAUCUUAACCAAAAGGCAAGGUUAAGUUUGAACAGAUGUUAAAUCCCCUUGGCUAUCAAAAAAAUCCAAAACAAAGACUACAAAAUAAAAGCAUCAAAUCUCAAUAUACAAUAUCAAUUAAGGGAAAUUUUCAUCCACAACCGAGAUCAGAAAUUCUUAUAUAAUCACUUUGAAGCUGGCCAAAAACAAAAUCAAUUAUACAUACAAGUACAUAUAAUAAACGGGCAGAUUAUAUAUAUCACCAAAAAUAUUAAAGUUAAAUAAAAAAACUUACUUGGAUAAGAUUUUGCAACUCGGCGGGGUUCUGAUAAGUAGAAUUCAUUGUUUUGCGUCUUGAUUUCACACUCCAGAUAGAUAUUUUUUAGUUUCUAAUUUUGAAGGUAUGAUUACAGAUUCAGGGGAAAUUAGGGGAUUAUAUUUAGGGUUUUUACGAUGUCAGUUGUUUUUU
This 15234-nucleotide long non-coding RNA is filed under the name Panax ginseng (ginseng). RNAcentral's name for it is "long non-coding RNA (PGIN_LNC009633)". Lineage: Eukaryota; Viridiplantae; Streptophyta; Magnoliopsida; Apiales; Araliaceae. The record is from RNAcentral.